AAAGAACCCGGUGACAGGUGGUGCAUGGUUGUCGUCAGCUCGUGUCGUGAGAUGUUGGGUUAAGUCCCGCAACGAGCGCAACCCUCGACCUUAGUUGCCAGCAUUCAGUUGGGCACUCUAAGGUGACUGCCGGCUAAAAGUCGGAGGAAGGUGGGGAUGACGUCAAAUCAUCAUGCCCCUUAUGACCUGGGCUACACACGUGCUACAAUGGGCGGUACAAAGGGUCGCGAACCCGCGAGGGGGAGCCAAUCCCAAAAAGCCGCUCUCAGUUCGGAUUGCAGGCUGCAACUCGCCUGCAUGAAGCCGGAAUCGCUAGUAAUCGCGGAUCAGCAUGCCGCGGUGAAUACGUUCCCGGGCCUU
RNAcentral lists this ribosomal RNA (360 nucleotides) under uncultured Anoxybacillus sp. Its description in RNAcentral is "bacterial SSU rRNA". It matches the Rfam family "Bacterial small subunit ribosomal RNA", at positions 1021 to 1382 of the family's 1533-position model. Lineage: Bacteria; Bacillati; Bacillota; Bacilli; Caryophanales; Anoxybacillaceae. The record is from RNAcentral.